RNAcentral lists this ribosomal RNA (478 nucleotides) under Halomonas sp. M17-C33. RNAcentral describes it as "bacterial SSU rRNA". It matches the Rfam family "Bacterial small subunit ribosomal RNA", at positions 1 to 476 of the family's 1533-position model. Lineage: Bacteria; Pseudomonadati; Pseudomonadota; Gammaproteobacteria; Oceanospirillales; Halomonadaceae. The record is from RNAcentral.
UWGAGUUUGAUCMUGGCUCAGAUUGAACGCUGGCGGCAGGCCUAACACAUGCAAGUCGAGCGGAAACGAUGGAAGCUUGCUUCCAGGCGUCGAGCGGCGGACGGGUGAGUAAUGCAUGGGAAUCUGCCCGAUAGUGGGGGAUAACCUGGGGAAACCCAGGCUAAUACCGCAUACGUCCUACGGGAGAAAGCAGGGGAUCUUCGGACCUUGCGCUAUCGGAUGAGCCCAUGUCGGAUUAGCUUGUUGGUGAGGUAAUGGCUCACCAAGGCGACGAUCCGUAGCUGGUCUGAGAGGAUGAUCAGCCACAUCGGGACUGAGACACGGCCCGAACUCCUACGGGAGGCAGCAGUGGGGAAUAUUGGACAAUGGGCGAAAGCCUGAUCCAGCCAUGCCGCGUGUGUGAAGAAGGCCCUCGGGUUGUAAAGCACUUUCAGUGGGGAAGAAAGCCUUGGGAUUAAUACUCCCGAGGAAGGACAUC